GAUGAAGAACGCAGCGAAAUGCGAUAAGUAAUGUGAAUUGCAGAAUUCAGUGAAUCAUCGAAUCUUUGAACGCACCUUGCGCCCCCUGGUAUUCCGGGGGGCAUGCCUGUCCGAGCGUCAUUGCUGCCCUCAAGCACGGCUUGUGUGUUGGGCCUCCGUCCUCCUCCCGGGGGACGGGCCCGAAAGGCAGCGGCGGCACCGCGUCCGGUCCUCGAGCGUAUGGGGCUUCGUCACCCGCUCUUGUAGGCCCGGCCGGCGCUUGCCGACACAUCAAUCUUUUUUCCAGGUUGACCUCGGAUCAGGUAGGGAUACCCGCUGAACUUAAGCAUAUCAAUAAGCGGAGGA
Molecule: unclassified non-coding RNA, 345 nt
Filed under: soil metagenome
Description: partial contains 5.8S ribosomal RNA, internal transcribed spacer 2, and large subunit ribosomal RNA
Rfam family: 5.8S ribosomal RNA (bases 1-120)
Source: RNAcentral